CAGUCGCCGCGGUAAUACGUAGGUGGCAAGCGUUGUCCGGAAUUAUUGGGCGUAAAGCGCGCGCAGGCGGAUAGGUCAGUCUGUCUUAAAAGUUCGGGGCUUAACCCCGUGAUGGGAUGGAAACUGCCAAUCUAGAGUAUCGGAGAGGAGAGUGGAAUUCCUAGUGUAGCGGUGAAAUGCGUAGAUAUUAGGAAGAACACCAAUGGCGAAGGCGACUUUCUGGACGAAAACUGACGCUGAGGCGCGAAAGCCAGGGGAGCGAACGGGAUUAGAGACCCCGGUAGUCCCUGUCUCUUAUACA
This 301-nucleotide ribosomal RNA is filed under the name uncultured bacterium. RNAcentral describes it as "partial 16S ribosomal RNA". It matches the Rfam family "Bacterial small subunit ribosomal RNA", at positions 509 to 809 of the family's 1533-position model. The record is from RNAcentral.